Molecule: ribosomal RNA, 816 nt
Filed under: Neofusicoccum mediterraneum
Lineage: Eukaryota; Fungi; Ascomycota; Dothideomycetes; Botryosphaeriales; Botryosphaeriaceae
Description: eukaryotic LSU rRNA
Rfam family: Eukaryotic large subunit ribosomal RNA
Source: RNAcentral
AAUAGCUCAAAUUUGAAAGCUGGCCCCUUCGGGGUCCGCGUUGUAAUUUGUAGAGGAUGAUUCGGCGAGGGCUCCCGUCUAAGUCCCUUGGAACAGGGCGUCAUAGAGGGUGAGAAUCCCGUAUGUGAUGGGCUGCCUUAGCCAUGUGAAUCUCCUUCGACGAGUCGAGUUGUUUGGGAAUGCAGCUCUAAAUGGGAGGUAAAUUUCUUCUAAAGCUAAAUACCGGCCAGAGACCGAUAGCGCACAAGUAGAGUGAUCGAAAGAUGAAAAGCACUUUGGAAAGAGAGUUAAAAAGUACGUGAAAUUGUUGAAAGGGAAGCGCUUGCAGCCAGACUUGUCCGCAGUUGCUCAGCCUGUCUCCUGACAGGCGUACUCUUCUGCGGCCAGGCCAGCAUCAGUUCGGGCGGUCGGAUAAAGACCCGGGGAAUGUAGCUCCUCUCGGGGAGUGUUAUAGCCCUGGGUGCAAUGCGGCCAGCCUGGACUGAGGAUCUCGCUUCGGCUAGGAUGCUGGCGUAAUGGCUGUAAGCGGCCCGUCUUGAAACACGGACCAAGGAGUCUAACAUCUAUGCGAGUGUUUGGGUGUCAAACCCAUGCGCGUAAUGAAAGUGAACGGAGGUGGGAACCCUCACGGGUGCACCAUCGACCGAUCCUGAUGUCUUCGGAUGGAUUUGAGUAAGAGCAUAGCUGUUGGGACCCGAAAGAUGGUGAACUAUGCCUGAAUAGGGUGAAGCCAGAGGAAACUCUGGUGGAGGCUCGCAGCGGUUCUGACGUGCAAAUCGAUCGUCAAAUUUGGGUAUAGGGGCGAAAGACUAAUCG